RNAcentral lists this transfer RNA (59 nucleotides) under Clostridiales bacterium. Its description in RNAcentral is "tRNA-Ser". It matches the Rfam family "tRNA", at positions 17 to 71 of the family's 71-position model. From Rfam's summary of the family: Transfer RNA (tRNA) molecules are approximately 80 nucleotides in length. Their secondary structure includes four short double-helical elements and three loops (D, anti-codon, and T loops). Lineage: Bacteria; Bacillati; Bacillota; Clostridia; Eubacteriales. The record is from RNAcentral.
GGUUAAGACACCGCCCUUUCACGGCGGUAACACGGGUUCGAGUCCCGUACGGGUCACCA